UACCCGCAGCCCGAGUGGUGGUCGAUUUUAUUGAGUCUAAAACGUUCGUAGCCGGUCUGAUAAAUCCUUGGGUAAAUCGGGAAGCUCAACUUUCCGAAUUCCGAGGAGACUGUUAGACUUGGGAUCGGGAGAGGUAAGAGGUACUUCAGGGGUAGGGGUAAAAUCCUGUAAUCCUUGGAGGACCACCGGUGGCGAAGGCGUCUUACUAGAACGAAUCCGACGGUGAGGGACGAAGCCCUAGGUCGCAAACGGGAUUAGAUACCCCGGUAGUCUAGGGUGUAAACGCUGCAGACUUGGUGUUGGAGGCCCUUCGGGGGCAUUCAGUGCCGGAGAGAAGUUGUUAAGUCUGCUACUUGGGGAGUACGUCCGCAAGGAUGAAACUUAAAGGAAUUGGCGGGGGAGCACCGCAACGGGAGGAGCGUGCGGUUUAAUUGGAUUCAACACCGGAAAACUCACCAAGGGAGACUAUCACAUGAAGGCCAGGCUAAUGACUUUGCCUGAUUCUUA
This 507-nucleotide ribosomal RNA is filed under the name uncultured archaeon. RNAcentral describes it as "bacterial SSU rRNA". It matches the Rfam family "Archaeal small subunit ribosomal RNA", at positions 474 to 981 of the family's 1478-position model. The record is from RNAcentral.